CAGCUCUCCAAAUGUAGUGUGGAAGUCAGAAUGCUCCUCGGCGGCCAUUAAGGAGAUUCUCAUAUCCUAGAACCAGAGGGCAGAAGGUGCUGAGAAUCGCUACCAAGAUCUGGUUUUAAAAGGGAGGUAGUUACAAAGAAGGCAGAAUAAGCAGCUCCAGCAAAUCCUAGGCUAAAGGAAUUAGAGGAAGGGGAAAAAUUUCACUCUGCCUUGGUUCCUCCAAAAUGUCUUACCUAACUGACCAUUCCUCUGUAGAGUCGUCUUCAGCACUGAUGCUGUCAGCCCGUAUUUUACAAAGAGCAUCAAGUCUACCAUGUGGACAAACCAUGAGCGUCACAUGGAAAAGCAUGUUGCAGAGAUGAGGAACUCCAGCUGAG
This 377-nucleotide long non-coding RNA is filed under the name Bos indicus x Bos taurus (hybrid cattle). Its description in RNAcentral is "lncRNA (ENSBIXG00005021783.1)". Lineage: Eukaryota; Metazoa; Chordata; Mammalia; Artiodactyla; Bovidae. The record is from RNAcentral.